UGGGAAAAGCUCGUUUCGUUCAAUUACAUUACUCUCUCAGUCUUUCUCAAGGGUUUAAGCUUUGUUCAUUUCUAGGGUUUAUCACACUCUCUCUCAAACUUCGAUCAAAUUCUCUAUAUUUCUUCCCUAAUCUUCUACAAUUUUCUCAGUAAAUCAUCUUCGAAGCUGCGAAUAAUGUGGGCUCUUCGUCGAGCUUCUGCAAAUUCUAUAAGGGCUCAAGGAUUAAAUGUAGCAGCAUUUCGAGCUUGUGCUGGACUUGGACAGUUCAGUGGCCAUACAAAAGACAAGUCAAAGAACUGUGAGCAUCGUGGUUUGAUGCGUGAUAAGUGGAUAACAUCUAAUGCAUGCCAGUUUACCGCACAUUUUCCAAAUAAGUUCUCAGCUGGGAGCCGGAGUCUUUCCUCAGAAGCUGGUGCUAAGAGUGGAGAGGAAGAGGAUGACUUGGAAGAGGGAUUUUCUGAGCUUGAAACACCUGAUCCCUUGGAGGCUACUGGGGGAGGUGUUGAAGAUAGUGACAGUUCAUCUGAUUCUGAUUCUGAAUCCGAAUCUGAAUUAUCUAGUGUUGAUGAGAAUGCGGAAGAGACCCUGGAAGCUGAGCUGUUGAAAGAUGCUGGGGAGAUACCAUCAACAAAGAAGUUGGGCCAUUCGCCUCUGUUGAAACUAAUUUUUGAAGAGUCUGGUCCAUCUCUUUCUAAAGCUCUUGAUAAUUAUGCUACUGAGGGCAAGGACUUAAAUCGUGCUGAAGUUUAUCAUGCUCUUUUGAAUCUAAGACGGCGUAAGAUGUUUUCAAAGGCCUUGCAGCUGUUGGAGUGGAUAGAUAAAAGAGAGGAUUUUGAGUACACUGAGCGGGAUUAUGCAUCUAGAGUGGAUCUGAUUGCCAAGGUGCGUGGUCUUCACAAGGCGGAGACUUUUAUUGACACUAUCCCUAAAUCCCACAGACAAGAAGUGGUCUAUAGAACUUUGCUCGCCAACUGUGUGUCCCUCACCAACGUGGCUAAAUCUGAAGAGAUAUUUAAUAAAAUGAAGGACCUUGGCUUUCCAAUUUCGCCCUUUACUUGCAACCAGUUGCUUGUUCUUUACAAGAGAACUGAUAAGAAAAAAAUUGCAGAUGUACUUCUAAUGAUGGAGAAAGAUGAUAUUAAGCCCUCUCUUUUUACUUACCAACUCUUGAUAGACACAAAGGGCCUAUCAAAUGACAUUAUUGGUAUGGAACAAAUUGUUGAGACAAUGCGAGCUGAAGGCAUCACACCCAACUUCCGUAUCCAAGCCACUCUUGCUCGUCAUUAUGCCUUUGGUGGACUCAAAGAAAAGGCGGAAGCAAUUUUGCAGGAGAUGGAAGGGGAUGACUUAAACUCUAAUCGCGGAGUCUGUCCCAUUUUGCUCUCAAUUUAUGCAAAUCUAGGCAAGGCUGAUGAUGUUGAAAGAGUGUGGAAAGUUUGUGAGCCAAAGCCCCGAGAAGGAGAUUACCUGGCUGCUAUUGAAGCUUUUGGGAAGCUGAAGAACGUCGAAAAAGCAGAAGCUGUGUACCAGAAGAUGACCAAAUCAACCAAUAAGCUUUCUACUAGGCAUUAUUCUUGCAUGCUGAAAGUAUAUGCAGAAAACAAAAUGCUGGGCAAGGGAAAGCAGCUACUAAAUCAGAUGGGAAACAGUGGCUGCCAAAUUGGGCCAGUUGCUUGGGAUGCUCUUGUGAAGCUCUACGUGGAUGCUGGGGAAGUGGAGAAAGCAGACUCUAUAUUGCAGAAAGCAACCUCACAGAAUCAGCAGAAGAGGCCGUUGUUUAGUUCUUAUAUGUCUAUCUUAGACCAGUAUGCUAAAAGGGGUGAUGUCCAUAAUGCUGAGAAAAUUUUCCUUCGGAUGAAGCAGGCUGGCUAUAUUUCCCGUGCGAGGCCAUUCAGUGGACUGCUCCAAGCAUACAUAAAUGCCAAGGUUCCAGCAUAUGGGUUUAGAGAGAGGAUGAAGGCAGAUAAUAUAUUCCCAAAUAGAACUCUUGCUGGACAGUUAGCCCAGGUUGAUGCAUUUAGAAAAAAUGCCGUGUCUGAUUUGCUCGAUUGAAGAUUUUGCUGAAUGAUCCAUUGCAUUCUUGCAGUAGAAACUGCAGAUCUGCUUUUGUUGAAUGCCUAAAGUUGGUAACUAUUCCAUCUCUGUUAGCUAAAAUACAGCUCCUAAUUUGAACAGAUUUCAGUGGUCACUGUUGCAAAUGGUAACUUCGUUUUGAGCUGAUUGAGCUACACUAUUUGAAUCCGUGUUCCGUGUGGUUUGUUCUUUUGCUGCUGAGAUUGGUGUACGUGGUGAUCAAAAUUGGGCUGAUUCUCGUUGGUGAUAUACUUGAUCCUUAGGCCAAAUGAACCUAAUUUCAAUUUAGACUAGGAAACGGGCUUGUUUGCCCAAUCUUAACUUUGAUCAUACUUGUGGGUCAAAUUUAAGCUAGAAGUACAAUUUGUCUCUUGUGUGGUAGAGUUUUGCGUAGUGGCUAACUGGCUAUUAACGGUUUGAGAUAGUAUUGGUAAAUAUAUAUACAGUUUGGCUCAUGUCAUAAUAUUGGUAAUAGUUUCUUAAAAUUAGCUCAUGGUGCUCUUUAUUUUA
Chenopodium quinoa (quinoa) is the source of this 2583-nucleotide RNA transcript. It is a transcript of the gene named pentatricopeptide repeat-containing protein At1g80270, mitochondrial-like, with no coding region annotated. Lineage: Eukaryota; Viridiplantae; Streptophyta; Magnoliopsida; Caryophyllales; Amaranthaceae. The record is from RefSeq and is a predicted model, not a curated record. The transcript has 4 exons.